UACAGAGGGGGCGAGCGUUGUUCGGAAUUACUGGGCGUAAAGGGCGCGUAGGCGGCCUGCUAAGUCGAACGUGAAAUCCCCGGGCUCAACCCGGGAACUGCGUCCGAGACUGGUUGGCUCGAAUCCGGGAGAGGGAUGUGGAAUUCCAGGUGUAGCGGUGAAAUGCGUAGAUAUCUGGAGGAACACCGGUGGCGAAGGCGACAUCCUGGACCGGUAUUGACGCUGAGGCGCGACAGCGUGGGGAGCAAACGGG
Molecule: ribosomal RNA, 253 nt
Filed under: uncultured bacterium
Lineage: Bacteria
Description: partial 16S ribosomal RNA
Rfam family: Bacterial small subunit ribosomal RNA
Source: RNAcentral